AGAGUUUGAUCCUGGCUCAGAACGAACGCUGGCGGCGUGCCUCAAACAUGCAAGUCGAACGAGGUGUAUGUGAGGUAACUCUCGUACACCUAGUGGCGAACGGGUGAGUAACACGUGGGUAAUCUACCUCUUGGACGGGGAUAACAUCUCGAAAGGGAUGCUAAUACCCGAUGAUAUCCGUCGCUCCACGGAGCGGCAGAUCAAAGGUGGCUUAGGCUUUGCCGCUACCACCGAGAGAUGAGCCCGCGGCCCAUUAGCUUGUUGGCGGGGUAAAAGCCCACCAAGGCGACGAUGGGUAGCCGGCCUGAGAGGGUGAUCGGCCACACUGGGACUGAGAUACGGCCCAGACUCCUACGGGAGGCAGCAGUUGGGAAUAUUGCGCAAUGGGCGAAAGCCUGACGCAGCGACGCCGCGUGAGCGAUGAAGGCCUUCGGGUUGUAAAGCUCUGUUCUGCGGAAAGAACACCCCGGAUUCGAAUAGGUUCCGGGUUUGACGGUACCGCAGAAGAAAGCCCCGGCUAACUCCGUGCCAGCAGCCGCGGUAAUACGGAGGGGGCGAGCGUUGUUCGGAAUUACUGGGCGUAAAGGGUGCGUAGGCGGCCUUUCAAGUCGGAUGUGAAAUGUCCCGGCUCAACCGGGGACCUGCGUCCGAUACUGUUGGGCUUGAGUACAGGAUGAGAGAGCGGAAUUCCCAGUGUAGCGGUGAAAUGCGUAGAUAUUGGGAGGAACACCGGUGGCGAAAGCGGCUCUCUGGCCUGAAACUGACGCUGAGGCACGAAAGCUAGGGUAGCAAACGGGAUUAGAUACCCCGGUAGUCCUAGCCGUAAACGAUGGGCACUAGGUGUAGGAGGUAUCGACCCCCUCUGUGCCGGAGCUAACGCAUUAAGUGCCCCGCCUGGGGAGUACGGUCGCAAGACUGAAACUCAAAGGAAUUGACGGGGGCCCGCACAAGCGGUGGAGCAUGUUCUUCAAUUCGACGCAACGCGAAGAACCUUACCAGGGCUUGACAUCCCUUGACAGCCCGGGAAACCGGGUCUUCUCUUCGGAGACGGGGAGACAGGUGCUGCAUGGCUGUCGUCAGCUCGUGUCGUGAGAUGUUGGGUUAAGUCCCGCAACGAGCGCAACCCUUGUCCUUAGUUGCCAGCACGUAAUGGUGGGAACUCUAAGGAGACUGCCGGUGAUAAACCGGAGGAAGGUGGGGAUGACGUCAAGUCAGCAUGGUCCUUACGCCCUGGGCUAGAAACGUGCUACAAUGGCCGGUACAGAGGGCUGCAAUACCGUGAGGUGGAGCCAAUCCCAAAAAACCGGUCUCAGUUCGGAUUGGAGUCUGCAACUCGACUCCAUGAAGCUGGAAUCGCUAGUAAUCGCGGAUCAGCAAUGCCGCGGUGAAUACGUUCCCGGGCCUUGUACACACCGCCCGUCACAUGACCCGAGUUGGGUGUACCCGAAGUCGCCGUACCAACCCUGACUGUUUUCGGACAGAUUGAUGGGAGGAAGGUGCCGAAGGUGUGCCUGGCAAGGGGGAU
RNAcentral lists this ribosomal RNA (1525 nucleotides) under metagenome. Its description in RNAcentral is "bacterial SSU rRNA". It matches the Rfam family "Bacterial small subunit ribosomal RNA". The record is from RNAcentral.